UGUCCCUGGAUGUGAGAACUGUUAUAAUAUAAUCUGUUUCCUGUAGAGCCGUCCAUGUCCCUGGAUGUGAGAACUGUUAUAAUAUAAUCUGUUUCCUGUAGAGCCGUCCAUGCCCCUGGAUGUGAGAACUGUUAUAAUAUAAUCUGUUUCCUGUAGAGCCGUCCAUGCCCCUGGAUGUGAGAACUGUUAUAAUAUAAUCUGUUUCCUGUAGAGCCGUCCAUGCCCCUGGAUGUGAGAACUGUUAUAAUAUAAUCUGUUUCCUGUAGAGCCGUCCAUGCCCCUGGAUGUGAGAACUGUUAUAAUAUAAUCUGUUUCCUGUAGAGCCGUCCAUGCCCCUGGAUGUGAGAACUGUUAUAAUAUAAUCUGUUUCCUGUAGAGCCGUCCAUGCCCCUGGAUGUGAGAACUGUUAUAAUAUAAUCUGUUUCCUGUAGAGCCGUCCA
Molecule: long non-coding RNA, 440 nt
Organism: Oncorhynchus keta (chum salmon)
Lineage: Eukaryota; Metazoa; Chordata; Actinopteri; Salmoniformes; Salmonidae
Exons: 3
Source: RefSeq, a predicted model, not a curated record